Molecule: ribosomal RNA, 230 nt
Filed under: uncultured bacterium
Lineage: Bacteria
Description: partial 16S ribosomal RNA
Rfam family: Bacterial small subunit ribosomal RNA
Source: RNAcentral
CGGACGGGUGAGUAAUGUAUGGGGAUCUGCCUGAUGGCGGGGGAUAACUACUGGAAACGGUAGCUAAUACCGCAUAACGUCGCAAGACCAAGAGGGGACCUUCGGGCCUCUUGCCAUCGGAUGUGCCCAGAUGGGAUUAGCUAGUAGGUGGGGUAACGGCUCACCUAGGCGACGAUCCCUAGCUGGUCUGAGAGGAUGACCAGCCACACUGGAACUGAGACACGGUCCAG